RNAcentral lists this ribosomal RNA (26 nucleotides) under Alternaria sp. Az. RNAcentral describes it as "partial 18S ribosomal RNA". Lineage: Eukaryota; Fungi; Ascomycota; Dothideomycetes; Pleosporales; Pleosporaceae. The record is from RNAcentral.
CUAGGUGCACCUGCGGAGGGACAUUA